This 253-nucleotide ribosomal RNA is filed under the name uncultured bacterium. RNAcentral describes it as "partial 16S ribosomal RNA". It matches the Rfam family "Bacterial small subunit ribosomal RNA", at positions 524 to 776 of the family's 1533-position model. The record is from RNAcentral.
UACAGAGGUCUCAAGCGUUGUUCGGAUUCAUUGGGCGUAAAGGGUGCGUAGGCGGUCGGGUAAGUCUGAUGUGAAAGCCCACGGCUCAACCGUGGAGGGUCAUUGGAAACUGGGGGACUUGAGUGCAGAAGAGGAAAGCGGAAUUCCACGUGUAGCGGUGAAAUGCGUAGAGAUGUGGAGGAACACCAGUGGCGAAGGCGGCUUUCUGGUCUGUAACUGACGCUGAGGCGCGAAAGCGUGGGGAGCAAACAGG